Molecule: unclassified non-coding RNA, 356 nt
Filed under: soil metagenome
Description: partial contains 5.8S ribosomal RNA, internal transcribed spacer 2, and large subunit ribosomal RNA
Rfam family: 5.8S ribosomal RNA (bases 1-120)
Source: RNAcentral
GAUGAAGAACGUAGCGAAAUGCGAUAAGUAAUGUGAAUUGCAGAAUUCAGUGAAUCAUCGAAUCUUUGAACGCACAUUGCGCCCGCCGGCACUCCGGCGGGCAUGCCUGUCCGAGCGUCAUUUCAACCCUCAGGCCCGAACCCCCCCGGGGGGGGCGGGCCUGGUGUUGGGGCUCGGGGUCCGCGAGGCCCCCGUCCCCUAAAUCCAGUGGCGGUCGCGCCGCACCCUCCCCUGCGUAGUAGCACACCUCGCACCGGAGAGCAGCGCGUCCACGCCGUGAAACCCCCAACUUACCAAGGUUGACCUCGGAUCAGGUAGGAAUACCCGCUGAACUUAAGCAUAUCAAUAAGCGGAGA